Molecule: long non-coding RNA, 695 nt
Filed under: Ursus americanus (American black bear)
Lineage: Eukaryota; Metazoa; Chordata; Mammalia; Carnivora; Ursidae
Description: lncRNA (ENSUAMG00000023873.1)
Source: RNAcentral
AGAUCAUUAGAGGUUUUAGAGCUGGCUGAGACAGGUUGCUGGGGUUGUAUAACUGUGCCUAGAGGGCGGGGUUCCUGUACAUUCCUACUUCGCCAGAUAACCUGCCCCCAACACCACUCCAGCUUCUGCCAGACAGAUGGAACUCUCCAACGUGAAAAUCUGCGCAGCUAUUCCAACAAGCAGGACUCUGCCUGGUGUUGGCCGAAGGAUGCAGAAGAAAAAGGUUUAAGGACUGGGACGCUCUUACCCCAAGAUUGCCCUUGAAGUUAACACAGCGACAUAGCCUUUUAAGACCAAGCACUCUUGGCAUUCUUUCGAGAUUGAGAAUUCCAGAGCAUCGGAUGAACAGGACUUAUAGCUAAGGCGUGCUCACCCACCCCUCCCUCCGUCUUUUUACGCACGCACCAGCUCGUCCUCACGUGCACGGGGUAGUGGACAGUGUUGACUUGAAUUGCUCUCGCUUGCUCCAAGCCUUUCCUGUGAAUGAACCCGAAAACACUCGACAGGUCGUGAAUAAUCGUUUUAAUGAGUGUGCAAAGCGUGCGACGGAGUGCACCGAGUUGUCGGGUUAAACAAACAACUUGUACCCUGACCAAAUCCGAUUGUUAAAGUGCAAAGUGAUGUCAGUACCAUUUCCAUUGCCCUUCGGAAAACCACAGAUCUGACACGCGGGAGUCCAAUUUUCCCCAUUAAAG